GGUUACGUAGUGUAGUGGUCAUCAUGUCUGCUUUACAUGCAGGAUGUUCUGGGUUCAAACCCCAGUGGAACCA
Non-coding RNA from Ameiurus melas (black bullhead), 73 nucleotides. Lineage: Eukaryota; Metazoa; Chordata; Actinopteri; Siluriformes; Ictaluridae. The record is from the annotation of a GenBank genome assembly.